Molecule: ribosomal RNA, 414 nt
Filed under: Caulobacteraceae bacterium Ellin7168
Lineage: Bacteria; Pseudomonadati; Pseudomonadota; Alphaproteobacteria; Caulobacterales; Caulobacteraceae
Description: bacterial SSU rRNA
Rfam family: Bacterial small subunit ribosomal RNA
Source: RNAcentral
AGCGAACGCUGGCGGCAGGCCUAACACAUGCAAGUCGAACGCCCCUUCGGGGGAGUGGCGGACGGGUGAGUAACACGUGGGAACGUGCCCUUUGGUACGGAACAACUGAGGGAAACUUCAGCUAAUACCGUAUGUGCCCCCAUUCUUAGCGGGAUGGGUGGGAAAGAUUUAUCGCCAUUGGAGCGGCCCGCGUUGGAUUAGCUAGUUGGUGGGGUAAAGGCCCACCAAGGCAACGAUCCAUAGCUGGUCUGAGAGGAUGAUCAGCCACACUGGGACUGAGACACGGCCCAGACUCCUACGGGAGGCAGCAGUGGGGAAUCUUGCGCAAUGGGCGAAAGCCUGACGCAGCCAUGCCGCGUGUAUGAUGAAGGUCUUAGGAUUGUAAAAUACUUUCACCGGGGAAGAUAAUGACGG